GCGUGCCCUCAUCCGAACGGUUUCAUUUUUCCUCCCAACUUCUUCUCGGAUUCCUUCUGCCCGAGAUCCCCUUCCCUCUCCGACGACUCCUUCGUUCCGAUCACCGACGCCGAGCAUCCUUCCUCUCCCUCUCAAGGUGUGGAGCUUCGCCCCAUUCUCGCACGACCUCCUCUUCCCCGACGCCGCUGUCCAUCGAGCUUUCGCCCUGAUGUCGGCGACUCUCAUCACGCCGGUGUUGUCCAGCCCAUCGCCACCGGACCUUAUUCUCCGUCGAUCGCAUAGGUUGAUCAGUUUUCACUCAGAUCCCUGACCCCUCUCCGAUUGUCACUACGGCUCUCCCUCUAGCGGUGCCCUAGCGCCGUUACCUCCAUGUCAUCGUCGUCGCUAGAGGUCACGGGGUCAUGUCAGGGAUGUCGCUCCAUUACCUGUGCCCUAGUUCCAAACCCCUGCCGGCUCCUCUUCCUCCGAUCACCUUCAGCUGUCCUCUCGGAUCGCUGCCCCUUGCGCCAGUGAGUUUGGCCGGAAGAGGGAGUAUCGAGCACUCUACUGAUCCUACUAUCCUAGCAUUGUCUGCGAUUCUCUAAUCUCUUCUCUAGCUGACGGAGAGGAGCACAAAUUCACCCUAGCAACGAUUUUGGAGGUAGAAGAUUAGCAAGAUUACAGCCACCACGAUACCGUUCGCUGGAGUUUUCCUUCGCCCGAUCGUUCAUCACCUCCGACUAGUGGAGAGAAAGAGGUAAGGUGCUCUGGUUGUUCUGGAAAUUUGGUUGUUGUUUGGAUGUUGAUUUCUUGAUGUAAAAUACCGGAAAAAUGUCGGAUAACGAUAGGGGAAUUUUCCAUAAAUUUUAGGAAUUUUCUGGGAAUUUUUCGGAGCACGUACGCCGGGUUUUGAGGGGACGAAUUUAUGGGUACGAAUAAAGCCUGUUUAGGAUACCCGUUUAAGUGAGGAAAAGUUUUAUUAUAAAUACAUUUUCCUUGUUUUUCUUAUUUCCCCUAAACGCUUUUUCCGUUCCCCAAACCCGCGCCCCCUUUUUCCUCACCGAUCCGUGCCCUACGAGCACCGCCGCCGGUCAACCGACGCCACCAACGCUUGUGACGGUUCCUCUCCUCCCCUCCGGUACGAAAAGGAGUGGCCAAAGGAAGCCCUAGCGAUUUUCCCCACUGCCACUUCCCCUCUUCCUCUCUUUUGCCGACGUCGACUUCACAACCGACACCAACUCCGAUCGCCUCCUUCUCUCUCUCUUUGCGGACACCAGGGCCCGCCCGAAAACGAGCGUUCAAGCCCUUUUUGGCUGUGCCCUAGUCUGAAGCCGCCGUCGUCAUACCGGUUGCCGCUAUCUGUGAGCCUAGCCCCGGAUGACACGGUUAUCCCUCCUCUUUUUCUUACUGCCGUCGCCCAAGAAACAUUCCGCGUCGCCUGAGAACAGCAACGUGAAGUAAUUCACGUUGGGUUUCUGUCCGGGAAGAAAGUUGCUGAUUGGAAUGUGAAGCCACUCAAGAAGCUGAUUCAAUAUUUAUGAUCAUGUUGUUGACCAAGCAUCAAUACAUUGGAGAGCAGUUGUUGGUCCACCAAGUUGAACGUUAUUGAUUGGGUGGUUCUUCUAAGCAACCAAGCUGUGGUUCUAUUCUGGCCAAAAGAGGGAUGUGCUGCUCCUACUUCUUCGAUUGUGGAUCAACAUGUAGUGUUUUGGUGUUGAGGACAUUGAUUCGGGACAAGCACUUCGACAUUUCGAUUUAUUAGCUCGAUCUACAUCGGAGGCGGGUACCUCUUCACUUAUCUUUUAUGAUAUUGUCAUUGGAUAUGCAUAGUAUUUUAUAACUACAAGCAAUGAAUAUGUUCGUCUUUGGUAUGUCACUGUUUGAUAUCCAUAGCAUGUUAGGUUUGUCGCUUGUUAUGUAUUCGUGCUUAUAUCUCAUGAAUUGUUACCAUGAGUAUCUUAUUGCCAUGAGUACUCUAUUACCAUGAGUAUCUUAGUUUCUAGAGUGACAUACCAUGCUCUACUGAGGUUAGGACUAGGUUAUGGAUUUUUGUUU
Molecule: long non-coding RNA, 2034 nt
Organism: Zingiber officinale
Lineage: Eukaryota; Viridiplantae; Streptophyta; Magnoliopsida; Zingiberales; Zingiberaceae
Exons: 3
Source: RefSeq, a predicted model, not a curated record